This 74-nucleotide transfer RNA is filed under the name Gammaproteobacteria bacterium RIFCSPHIGHO2_12_FULL_43_28. Its description in RNAcentral is "tRNA-Arg". It matches the Rfam family "tRNA". From Rfam's summary of the family: Transfer RNA (tRNA) molecules are approximately 80 nucleotides in length. Their secondary structure includes four short double-helical elements and three loops (D, anti-codon, and T loops). Further hydrogen bonds mediate the characteristic L-shaped molecular structure. tRNAs have two regions of fundamental functional importance: the anti-codon, which is responsible for specific mRNA codon recognition, and the 3' end, to which the tRNAs corresponding amino acid is attached (by aminoacyl-tRNA synthetases). tRNAs cope with the degeneracy of the genetic code in two manners: having more than one tRNA (with a specific anti-codon) for a particular amino acid; and 'wobble' base-pairing, i.e. permitting non-standard base-pairing at the 3rd anti-codon position. RNAcentral also lists the same sequence under 2 other names. Lineage: Bacteria; Pseudomonadati; Pseudomonadota; Gammaproteobacteria. The record is from RNAcentral.
GCGCCCGUAGCUCAUUCGGAUAGAGCACCGGCCUUCUAAGCCGGGGGUGGCAGGUUCGAAUCCUGCCGGGCGCG